Molecule: ribosomal RNA, 635 nt
Filed under: uncultured archaeon
Lineage: Archaea
Description: bacterial SSU rRNA
Rfam family: Archaeal small subunit ribosomal RNA
Source: RNAcentral
UUCCGGUUGAUCCUGCCGGACCCGACUGCUAUCAGAGUGGGACUAAGCCAUGCGAGUCAACAUAGCAAUAUGUGGCAUACGGCUCAGUAACACGUAGUCAACAUGCCCAGGGGACGUGGAUAACCUCGGGAAACUGAGGAUAAACCGCGAUAGGUCAUCACUUCUGGAAUGGGUAAUGACUUAAAUCUAUAUGGCCCCUGGAUUGGACUGCGGCCGAUCAGACUGUUGGUGAGGUAAUGGCCCACCAAACCUGUAACCGGUACGGGCUCUGAGAGGAGGAGCCCGGAGAUGGGCACUGAGACAAGGGCCCAGGCCCUAUGGGGCGCAGCAGGCGCGAAACCUCUGCAAUAGGCGAAAGCUUGACAGGGUUACUCUGAGUGAUUUCCGUUAAGGAGAUCUUUUGGCACCUCUAAAAAUGGUGCAGAAUAAGGGGUGGGCAAGUCUGGUGUCAGCCGCCGCGGUAAUACCAGCACCCCGAGUGGUCGGGACGUUUAUUGGGCCUAAAGCAUCCGUAGCCGGUUCUACAAGUCUUCCGUUAAAUCCACCUGCUUAACAGAUGGGCUGCGGAAGAUACUAUAGAGCUAGGAGGCGGGAGAGGCAAGCGGUACUCGAUGGGUAGGGGUAAAAUCCGUUGA